AUACGGAGGGUGCAAGCGUUAAUCGGAAUUACUGGGCGUAAAGCGCGCGUAGGCGGAUUGAUCAGUCAGAGGUGAAAUCCCAGGGCUCAACCCUGGAACUGCCUUUGAUACUGGCAGGCUUGAGGCCGGGAGAGGGUAGUGGAAUUCCCAGUGUAGAGGUGAAAUUCGUAGAUAUUGGGAAGAACACCAGUGGCGAAGGCGGCUACCUGGACCGGUUCUGACGCUGAGGUGCGAAAGCGUGGGGAGCAAACAGGAUUAGAUACCCCAGUAGUCC
Molecule: ribosomal RNA, 274 nt
Filed under: uncultured bacterium
Lineage: Bacteria
Description: partial 16S ribosomal RNA
Rfam family: Bacterial small subunit ribosomal RNA
Source: RNAcentral